GAUGAACGCUGGCGGCGUGCCUAAUACAUGCAAGUCGAGCGAACGGACGAGAAGCUUGCUUCUCUGAUGUUAGCGGCGGACGGGUGAGUAAAACGUGGAUAACCUACCUAUAAGACUGGGAUAACUUCGGGAAACCGUAGCUAAUACCGGAUAAUAUUUUGAACCGCAUGGUUCAAAAGUGAAAGACGGUCUUGCUGUCACUUAUAGAUGGAUCCGCGCUGCAUUAGCUAGUUGGUAAGGUAACGGCUUACCAAGGCAACGAUGCAUAGCCGACCUGAGAGGGUGAUCGGCCACACUGGAACUGAGACACGGUCCAGACUCCUACGGGAGGCAGCAGUAGGGAAUCUUCCGCAAUGGGCGAAAGCCUGACGGAGCAACGCCGCGUGAGUGAUGAAGGUCUUCGGAUCGUAAAACUCUGUUAUUAGGGAAGAACAUAUGUGUAAGUAACUAUGCACAUCUUGACGGUACCUAAUCAGAAAGCCACGGCUAACUACGUG
Molecule: ribosomal RNA, 497 nt
Filed under: uncultured bacterium
Lineage: Bacteria
Description: partial 16S ribosomal RNA
Rfam family: Bacterial small subunit ribosomal RNA
Source: RNAcentral